GACGAACGCUGGCGGCGUGCUUAACACAUGCAAGUCGAACGAUGAAGCCUAGCUUGCUAGGUGGAUUAGUGGCGAACGGGUGAGUAAUACGUGAGUAACCUACCUUUAACUCUGGGAUAAGCCUGGGAAACUGGGUCUAAUACCGGAUACGACCAAUCUCCGCAUGGGGUGUUGGUGGAAAGCGUUAUGUAGUGGUUAUAGAUGGGCUCACGGCCUAUCAGCUUGUUGGUGAGGUAACGGCUCACCAAGGCGACGACGGGUAGCCGGCCUGAGAGGGUGACCGGCCACACUGGGACUGAGACACGGCCCAGACUCCUACGGGAGGCAGCAGUGGGGAAUAUUGCACAAUGGGCGCAAGCCUGAUGCAGCGACGCCGCGUGAGGGAUGACGGCCUUCGGGUUGUAAACCUCUGUUAGCAGGGAAGAAGAGAAAUUGACGGUACCUGCAGAGAAAGCGCCGGCUAACUACGUGCCAGCAGCCGCGGUAAUACGUAGGGCGCGAGCGUUGUCCGGAAUUAUUGGGCGUAAAGAGCUUGUAGGCGGUUUGUCGCGUCUGCUGUGAAGGCCGGGGCUUAACCCCGUGUAUUGCAGUGGGUACGGGCAGACUAGAGUGCAGUAGGGGAGACUGGAAUUCCUGGUGUAGCGGUGGAAUGCGCAGAUAUCAGGAGGAACACCGAUGGCGAAGGCAGGUCUCUGGGCUGUAACUGACGCUGAGAAGCGAAAGCAUGGGGAGCGAACUGGAUUAGAUACCCUGGUAGUCCAUGCCGUAAACGUUGGGCACUAGGUGUGGGGGACAUUCCACGUUUUCCGCGCCGUAGCUAACGCAUUAAGUGCCCCGCCUGGGGAGUACGGCCGCAAGGCUAAAACUCAAAGAAAUUGACGGGGGCCCGCACAAGCGGCGGAGCAUGCGGAUUAAUUCGAUGCAACGCGAAGAACCUUACCAAGGCUUGACAUAUACUGGACCGCAUCAGAGAUGGUGUUUCCCUUCGGGGCUGGUAUACAGGUGGUGCAUGGUUGUCGUCAGCUCGUGUCGUGAGAUGUUGGGUUAAGUCCCGCAACGAGCGCAACCCUCGUUCUAUGUUGCCAGCACGUUAUGGUGGGGACUCAUAGGAGACUGCCGGGGUCAACUCGGAGGAAGGUGGGGAUGACGUCAAAUCAUCAUGCCCCUUAUGUCUUGGGCUUCACGCAUGCUACAAUGGCCGGUACAGAGGGUUGCGAUACUGUGAGGUGGAGCUAAUCCCUAAAAGCCGGUCUCAGUUCGGAUUGGGGUCUGCAACUCGACCCCAUGAAGUCGGAGUCGCUAGUAAUCGCAGAUCAGCAACGCUGCGGUGAAUACGUUCCCGGGCCU
RNAcentral lists this ribosomal RNA (1347 nucleotides) under uncultured bacterium. RNAcentral describes it as "bacterial SSU rRNA". It matches the Rfam family "Bacterial small subunit ribosomal RNA", at positions 28 to 1381 of the family's 1533-position model. The record is from RNAcentral.